CUCCAUCCCCACUAAGCCGCCCCUGCUUGUACCGAGUUUUAGAGGUAUACAUGGAAUUUUUUUGUUGUGUCAAGUUAUAACAAGGAUAGUGAUAAGACAGACUAAAACAUCACCUCAUAUACUGAGUGACUUGGAUUUCAAUGGAGGAAGAGAGACGAAGCGAAGAAGAGAGAUAUCAUCUUUGGAGUCCUUUCCAAUUCUGUAAAGAAGCUCUUGAGAGCUUCUUAAAGUGUCUUGGUCUUUAUACCUCUCCUUCAAAUUCUUCGGCAUCUUCGGUUCAGGAGGAUGCCGUGACGACAAGGGGAAUUUUAAUCGGAUCAAAGAAAAGGCCGAGAGAGCCACAUAGCUCUGGAAAGCCAGGCGGCCACAACUAAAUUAGGAACAUUUGAUUUGUUGCUUUGCUAUCUAUCAGCCAUAAAAGCCACCCGGAAAAACAGAUUAGUAGUUGCAUGCAAUGUUUCACGUUUAUCAUACACAUCGUUUUAUGUAUAUUUUGGGCUAAUCAUAGUUUCAUAUCAUGAAGUUGAUCCAUUUAGUCUUAAAAUUAUUCAAAACAUAAAGACUUUUGUUUUUCAGACGUUUGUGUUGAUGGACGAUAGUGGACGGUGACCAAAUGGUACGGAAAAAAUGUAUCUCUGGUUAAUAUUAAA
This is an RNA transcript of Brassica oleracea var. oleracea, 650 nucleotides long. It is a transcript of the gene named elicitor peptide 4-like, with no coding region annotated. The record is from RefSeq and is a predicted model, not a curated record. The transcript is spliced from 2 exons. NCBI's taxonomy places the organism in Eukaryota, Viridiplantae, Streptophyta, Magnoliopsida, Brassicales, Brassicaceae.